AAGUCGUAACAAGGUUUCCGUAGGUGAACCUGCGGAAGGAUCAUUAACACGUAUCCAACAUUAACCAACCUGUGAACUUGUAAAUGUGUCUGAGUUUCGUUCGUGAGAAGGCCUUCUGGUUUUCGAUCGAGCGUUGCUCCUUUAUCACUAUUUUAACCACUGUAACCUAUUAACUGAAACUUACUUUUGCUAUUGGUCAGCAAUGAUCGAUGGGCGGAAGCAUUUUACGAAACUAAAACAACUCUUAGCAACGGAUAUCUUGGUUCUC
This 268-nucleotide unclassified non-coding RNA is filed under the name fungal sp. Its description in RNAcentral is "partial internal transcribed spacer region". The stretch from base 1 to 46 matches the Rfam family "Eukaryotic small subunit ribosomal RNA", at positions 1786 to 1831 of the family's 1831-position model. The record is from RNAcentral. Lineage: Eukaryota; Fungi.